Molecule: long non-coding RNA, 872 nt
Filed under: Citrus sinensis (sweet orange)
Lineage: Eukaryota; Viridiplantae; Streptophyta; Magnoliopsida; Sapindales; Rutaceae
Description: long non-coding RNA (CSIN_LNC000787)
Source: RNAcentral
ACAAUUCUUGGAUCGUUUCUACCGUGACUGAAGUUGAAGAAGUGAAGAUGGUGUUAAAGCUUCUCCCAAUUUGGGCCACGUGUAUACUUUUCUGGACAGUUUAUUCACAAAUGACUACAUUCACUGUGGAGCAGGCAACCUUCAUGAACAGAAAAAUUGGCUCCUUUACUGUGCCUUCAGGUUCUUUAUCAGCCUUUCUAUUCAUAACCAUCCUUCUCUUUACUUCACUAAACGAAAAAGUGUUUGUUCCCCUGGCUCGAAAAAUCACACACUCCAUCCAAGGAAUGACAAGCCUUCAGAGGGUUGGCACUGGACUAAUUUUUUCAGUGAUUGCUAUGAUUGUUUCUGCCGUUAUUGAGCAGCAAAGGAGGGAAACUUCAGUUCAAAAGCACAUCCAAAUAAGUGCUUUCUGGCUAGUCCCUCAGUACUUUCUUGUCGGCGCAGGCGAAGCUUUUGUUUAUGUGGGACAACUUGAGUUCUUCAUUAGGGAAGGGCCAGAGAGGAUGAAAUCAAUGAGCACAGGGCUGUUUCUAAGUGCCAUUUCAAUGGGGAUGUUUGUUAGCAGCAUGUUGGUGUCUAUUGUUGACAAAAUAACCAAUAAGCACUGGCUGAGAAGCAAUUUGAAUAAAGGGAAGUUAAACAACUUCUAUUGGCUACUUGCAGUGCUAGGACUUUUGAAUUUCAUGGUGUUUCUUUUCGUUGCAAUGAAGCAUCAGUAUAAUGUGCAGCAUCGUGUUAAGGGAGAUAAAGAGCUUGAGAAUUUCAAUGAUGGGAAAGUUUAAGAUUUGGAGAACAAUUGGAUUGCUGAGGGAAAAAUGGAGCUCUAGUUGGUGUUUGCUUUUGAGCUUAAAUAUGUAACAGUAUAUUGCCAG